RNAcentral lists this ribosomal RNA (255 nucleotides) under uncultured bacterium. RNAcentral describes it as "partial 16S ribosomal RNA". It matches the Rfam family "Bacterial small subunit ribosomal RNA", at positions 524 to 777 of the family's 1533-position model. The record is from RNAcentral.
UACGGGGGGAGCAAGCGUUGUUCGGAUUUACUGGGCGUAAAGGGCGCGUAGGCGGUCGUGACAAGUCACUUGUGAAAUCUCCGGGCUUAACUCGGAACGGUCAAGUGAUACUGUCGGACUAGAGUACAGAAGGGGCAACUGGAAUUCUCGGUGUAGCGGUGAAAUGCGUAGAUAUCGAGAGGAACACCUGCGGCGAAGGCGGGUUGCUGGGCUGAUACUGACGCUGAGGCGCGAAAGCCAGGGGAGCGAAACGGG